AGUGAACGCUGGCGGUAGGCCUAACGCAUGCAAGUCGAACGGCAGCACAGGAGAGCUUGCUCUCUGGGUGGCGAGUGGCGGACGGGUGAGGAAUACAUCGGAAUCUACUUUUUCGUGGGGAUAACGUAGGGAAACUUACGCUAAUACCGCAUACGACCUACGGGUGAAAGCAGGGGACCUUCGGGCCUUGCGCGAUUGAAUGAGCCGAUGUCGGAUUAGCUAGUUGGCGGGGUAAAGGCCCACCAAGGCGACGAUCCGUAGCUGGUCUGAGAGGAUGAUCAGCCACACUGGAACGGAGACACGGUCCAGACUCCUACGGGAGGCAGCAGUGGGGAAUAUUGGACGAUGGGCGCAAGCCUGAUCCAGCCAUACCGCGUGGGUGAAGAAGGCCUUCGGGUUGUAAAGCCCUUUUGUUGGGAAAGAAAUCCAGCUGGCUAAUACCCGGUUGGGAUGACGGUACCCAAAGAAUAAGCACCGGCUAACUUCGUGCCAGCCGCCGCCGUAA
This 505-nucleotide ribosomal RNA is filed under the name uncultured bacterium. RNAcentral's name for it is "partial 16S ribosomal RNA". It matches the Rfam family "Bacterial small subunit ribosomal RNA", at positions 29 to 523 of the family's 1533-position model. The record is from RNAcentral.